AUCGUAAUCCUAAUAUCCUCGGCUCCCCGCUCCCCGCCCAAGGCCCCGCCGCAUCGGUGCAUCCGCAGCUCAUGUUCGCCUUCUUCGGUCUCAUAUUGGCAUCCACAAGUCUCCUGUUUCAUCUUGCUCUUCGCUCUCAAUCCCCCUUCGCCCCUCCCAUCUUUCUCUUCGCUAACUUCCCUAAUCCCCUUUGUUGAGACUCACAAUUAGAUCGUCUUUCUCCUUUGGUGUUUGUUGUCGGCGGCCGGUGAAUCGGCAACUCUAGAGCUCGGGCUGCUCAAGGUUAGCAAGUUCUUUCCUUCUCCUUUGCGAUUUCUAGAGGAGCAUCGUCGACGGCUUACAAGUGACAUGGUGGAUGUCUUAUCCUACAUCAAAGACUGGCAGUUAGCGAACUCUCACAUGCAGCACAAUCUGGAGAGGGACACCACAAAUAUUGAAUCUAUCCUUGAGAGCAUAAGCCAGAGUCUAAUGCCUAACAUGAGUGACUAUCUUGUGUAUUGCCUUCUAUUGUGCCUUGUUGUAAUGGACUAAUGGAACAUUAGAAUUUAGGAGUUCACUGCACUCUUUUUUCUUUCCUAAGAUUUUUCAUGAGGUGUGAGUUUUUAUGUAGGAAGGUUUUUAAUAAGGCAGCAUUGCACACAACGUCUCCAAUAUAAUCUUUAUAUUCU
This is an RNA transcript of Zea mays, 668 nucleotides long. RefSeq lists it as uncharacterized. The transcript has a single exon. Lineage: Eukaryota; Viridiplantae; Streptophyta; Magnoliopsida; Poales; Poaceae. The record is from RefSeq and is marked validated.